GGAAUAUUGGUCAAUGGGCGGAAGCCUGAACCAGCCAUCCCGCGUGAAGGAAGAAGGCCUUAUGGGUUGUAAACUUCUUUUCUGUUUGAAGAAUAAGCUUGUCGUGACAAGUGAUGCCGGUAGGAUAGGAAUAAGCAUCGGCUAACUCCGUGCCAGCAGCCGCGGUAAUACGGAGGAUGCAAGCGUUAUCCGGAUUUAUUGGGUUUAAAGGGUGCGCAGGUGGUUUAAUAAGUCAGUGGUGAAAGUCUGCCGCUUAACGGUAGGAUUGCCAUUGAUACUGUUGGACUUGAAUAUGGAUGAGGUAGGCGGAAUGUGUAGUGUAGCGGUGAAAUGCUUAGAUAUUACACAGAACACCGAUUGCGAAGGCAGCUUACUAAUCCAUGAUUGACGCUGAGGCACGAAAGCGUGGGGAUCAAACAG
This 420-nucleotide ribosomal RNA is filed under the name uncultured bacterium. Its description in RNAcentral is "bacterial SSU rRNA". It matches the Rfam family "Bacterial small subunit ribosomal RNA", at positions 358 to 775 of the family's 1533-position model. The record is from RNAcentral.